GGCUCCUUAGUUUAAUGGAUAAAAUUUCAGAUUCCGAUUCUGAAGAUACAGGUUCGAUUCCUGUAGGGGCUA
RNAcentral lists this transfer RNA (72 nucleotides) under Bacteroidota bacterium. RNAcentral's name for it is "tRNA-Arg". It matches the Rfam family "tRNA". From Rfam's summary of the family: Transfer RNA (tRNA) molecules are approximately 80 nucleotides in length. Their secondary structure includes four short double-helical elements and three loops (D, anti-codon, and T loops). The record is from RNAcentral. RNAcentral also lists the same sequence under 1 other name. Lineage: Bacteria; Pseudomonadati; Bacteroidota.